GUGAAUGGAAAAAGGAGAAGGGGAGAGAAACGGGGGAAAUCUGGAUAAUACAUUAAAGUAACCAUAAUUUUGGAGAUGCAUUCAUCUUAUUGAAAAUAUGUACGUAACCAGUGAUACCGAAGUCGGAUAUUUGCUCAAUCAGGAUGCUCAACAAUUUGAGCCUUUAAAGUUUGGAGCUGCAUGGGUUUGUGGAGAAAGUCGGCUCGUGAUAUUUCCUCAUGGUUGUGAUUCCUCUUCACUCUUUUGAAUUUGGAAGGAUGGCAUACACAUCUGAAAAAUACCACUACUUCCUUCAUUGGACUGCAAGGUAUUUCUGUUUGGAAAAGUAAUGGAGUCCAGUCAACUUCAUUGAUCGCCAAGGACUGUCAAAAUUAUAAAACUUGCUGUGGAGCUCUGACAUGCCAGAAGCCGCUAGAAAAAGAAGUUUGACAUUCAGAAACUUAUCAAGAGGUUCUACUCUUUGGAUAGAGACCAAAAUCAUACUUUGAAAAAGCCUGACAGGUUUCUUCGGAAAAGUGGCCAUCCAUGGAAUGAAUGAAAUGUUCUCUUUCUAUUCCACCUCUAGAGACCAUCAAAAAACAAUGGCUCAUAAUGCUUUUAGAACAGAAACUGAAGUUGUAUACUGUGCAUAUGUAAUCCUACACAAGAGGAAGGCAAUGUUUAAAGCUGCUGUCACCUCUUAGGGAAAAAACUGGAAUUCUGAGUCAAGUAUGUAUGCAUUUUCUGUUUUCCUGUCUUGUGGGUCUUUAUGACUAAAAACAUUUUUAUGAAAUUGCUCUCUGCUUCUUUAAGCUUUGUGUGGUCUUGUUUGUUUGUUCUCAAAUCUCAAACCAUGCCAUAGUUAGGAAACAUCUUGAGUUGUUAAAAGUUAAAGAAAUUGUAUUUUGUUUAUGAGCAAAAGAGCAGGCCAAGCAAUGUCUUCAGAAACAAAGAUCUUAUUUUAUUUAAAGAAGUUCCUUUUUGUUAUAAGCUAGAAUGAAGAAUGAUUUCAGGACAAUGAGACAGAAACUACCUCUUGAAAGCUGUAAUGUUGAAGCUGGCUACAUAGCUAAAAUAGAGUAGACUGAUUUUCUUUUCUAGGCCUGUUUGGUCAAUUUAAACCAUAUUAAUGGGUGAUCAAACCCUGAAGAGUUCUCUGAGGAUUUAAGUUACCAGCCCACAAUAUACUGACAAUCCACUGAACAACAACAAAACAACAUUUAAUUUCACUUUAUGCAGCACAAACGCAGACUGAGACACUCUAUCAAAUGGUUAAGAGCAUGGGUUUCAAGUCAGAUCCACCUGGAUGUGAGCUCUGGGUCUAGCACUUGCUAACCAUGUAAUCUUGGGCAAUUUAACUUCAUGAAUUCUAUUUCUUCAUCUGUAUUAUAGGAAUGAGGCCAUAUUUCAUGAGAGUAAGAUGCAUUUUUUUUCACAUUUUAACAUCUCUGAUGUUAGAAUGCAUGUUACAAUUGAUGGUGUGUCUUCAUUCAAUUGCCAACACUUUUUCUUUUCUUACUAGUACAUAACUGUGUAAUUACAACCUAUGACAUUUGAGAUUCAAUUAAAUAAUUAACAUAUACCUCAUAGAGUUGUUCUGAGAUAUAAAUAAAAUAAUGAUGUAGAACCUUAUGUCCUAUAAAACCUGCCCCACGGAAGACUUCUAGUAAAUCAUACCAGUUAAUGUUGUACAGUGUGAUGUUUGUAAAGUCUGGCAUUUUCCUGUCUUGUUAGUCAUAAUUUCUGUUUGCCAACUCUAAAAGUUAAUUUCUUUGCAAAAAUCUUUUUGUUGGAACAGUCUGCCUACUGAGUAGCUCGUCAAAUUUCCUCUAAUUGUUCUGGCAGCAUGACAUUGACCCUACGGGUUUACAUAUGAAAUAUGGUCAAAAUAAAGGUUUUAUGAAA
This 1884-nucleotide long non-coding RNA is filed under the name Homo sapiens (human). Its description in RNAcentral is "SOX2 overlapping transcript". The stretch from base 490 to 558 matches the Rfam family "SOX2 overlapping transcript exon 2". The record is from RNAcentral. Lineage: Eukaryota; Metazoa; Chordata; Mammalia; Primates; Hominidae.